Molecule: unclassified non-coding RNA, 247 nt
Filed under: uncultured Ustilaginales
Lineage: Eukaryota; Fungi; Basidiomycota; Ustilaginomycetes; Ustilaginales
Description: sequence contains ITS1
Rfam family: 5.8S ribosomal RNA (bases 1-116)
Source: RNAcentral
GAAAGGCGAAACGUAAUGUGAAUCGCAACUAACAGUGAAUCAUCGAAUCUUUGAACGCAGGCCGCACUUUGUGGUAUGGCUUGUUCAUGCCACAAGGUAUCUACGUAUGAGUGUCAGCCAAUAAUCAAUUUGGUUCAUAAGGCGAAUUAUUUCUCCUUUUAUGAAUACACAUGUGUCUUGUGACAUAUCUCUUGAAACAAUACAAUGUGUCUGGCCUCAUAUGUGGAAGAUUACCCGCUGGAUUUAA